Molecule: small nucleolar RNA, 141 nt
Organism: Tachyglossus aculeatus (Australian echidna)
Lineage: Eukaryota; Metazoa; Chordata; Mammalia; Monotremata; Tachyglossidae
Source: RefSeq, a predicted model, not a curated record
CCCCUCUCGGGGUCACACCUGGAGAGUUGUUUCCAGUCCUCUACCAGUCUCGACUAAGGGAGGGAGAGUCAAGCAGAGGCCUACCCAUUCCAUUCCUAGCUUGGGCAGUGGCUAGCGAGUGGAAGGCCAUCUGCCGCAAGU